This 310-nucleotide ribosomal RNA is filed under the name uncultured bacterium. RNAcentral describes it as "bacterial SSU rRNA". It matches the Rfam family "Bacterial small subunit ribosomal RNA", at positions 27 to 332 of the family's 1533-position model. The record is from RNAcentral.
GAAUCAACGCUGGCGGCGUGGAUUAGGCAUGCAAGUCGAACGCGAAAGGGGAGCAAUCCCUGAGUAGAGUGGCGAACUGGUGAGUAACAGGUGGGCAACGUGCCCCAAAGUGGGGGAUAACUCCGAGAAAUCGGAGCUAAUACCGCAUGCGGUGUUUCAGACCUCGGUUCGAAACAUUAAAGGAGUAAUUCGCUUUGGGGAUCCGGCCCGCCCCGGAUUAGCUAGUUGGUGAGGUAACGGCNCACCAACGGCGACGAUCCGUAGCUGGUCUGAGAGGAUGGUCAGCCACACUGGAACUGAGAUACGGUCC